ACCCUGAGAGAUAGCUCAGUUGGUAGAGCAUGAGACUGUUGGUCUCAGGGUUGUGAGUUUGAACCCCACGUUGGGUA
This is a non-coding RNA of Podarcis lilfordi (Lilford's wall lizard), 77 nucleotides long. The record is from the annotation of a GenBank genome assembly. NCBI's taxonomy places the organism in Eukaryota, Metazoa, Chordata, Lepidosauria, Squamata, Lacertidae.